This 468-nucleotide ribosomal RNA is filed under the name uncultured bacterium. Its description in RNAcentral is "partial 16S ribosomal RNA". It matches the Rfam family "Bacterial small subunit ribosomal RNA", at positions 28 to 507 of the family's 1533-position model. The record is from RNAcentral.
GACGAACGCUGGCGGCGUGCUUAACACAUGCAAGUCGAACGGAAAGGCCCUGCUUUUGUGGGGUGCUCGAGUGGCGAACGGGUGAGUAACACGUGAGUAACCUGCCCUUGACUUUGGGAUAACUUCAGGAAACUGGGGCUAAUACCGGAGAGGAGCUCCUGCUGCAUGGUGGGGGUUGGAAAGUUUCGGCGGUUGGGGAUGGACUCGCGGCUUAUCAGCUUGUUGGUGGGGUAGUGGCUUACCAAGGCUUUGACGGGUAGCCGGCCUGAGAGGGUGACCGGCCACAUUGGGACUGAGAGACGGACCAGACUCCUACGGGAGGCAGCAGUGGGGAAUAUUGCACAAUGGGCGGAAGCCUGAUGCAGCAACGCCGCGUGCGGGAUGACGGCCUUCGGGUUGUAACCCGCUUUCGCCUGUGACGAAGCGUGAGUGACGGUAAUGGGUAAAGAAGCACCGGCUAACUACGUG